CUUAGCUUUAAAUUUAGAAAUAAUAAAUUUGUUAAGCAUAAAUAUCAACACUAGUUGAUCCUAUUGAUGACAAAAUUGAUUUUCUUGCAAGAUCGAUUUGUGUCCAUCGUUGAUAUUAAGCUUAAUUUAGGAAUAAUGUGUUUGUUAAGCAUAAGUAUCAACACUAGUUGAUCCUAUAGAUGACAAAAUUGAUUUUCUUGGAAGAUCGAUUUGUGUCCAUCUAGUGUUGACACUUAGCUUUAAAUUUAGAAAUAAUAUAUUUGUUAAGCAUGAGUACCAACACUAGUUGAUCCUAUUGAUGACAAAAUUGAUUUUCUUGCAAGAUCGAUUUGUGUCCAUCUAGUGUUGACACUUAGCUUUAAAUUUAGAAAUAAUA
RNAcentral lists this long non-coding RNA (376 nucleotides) under Solanum tuberosum (potato). RNAcentral's name for it is "long non-coding RNA (STUB_LNC011407)". Lineage: Eukaryota; Viridiplantae; Streptophyta; Magnoliopsida; Solanales; Solanaceae. The record is from RNAcentral.